GAUGAACGCUGGCGGCGUGCCUAAUACAUGCAAGUCGAGCGGACGGACGCUAAGCUUGCUUCUCUGAUGUUAGCGGAGGACGGGUGAGUAACACGUGGAUCCCCUACCUAUAAGACUGGGAUCACUUCGGGAAUCCGUCGCUAAUACCGGAUAAUAUUUUGAACCGCAUGGUUCAAUAGUGAAAUACGGUCUUGCUGUCUCUUCUAGCUGGAUCCGCGCUGGAUUAGCUAGUUGGUACGGUAACGGCCUACCAAGGCUACGAUGCAUAGCCGAACUGAGAGGGGGAUAGGCCACACUGGAGCUGAGACACGGUCCAGGCUCCUGCGGGAGGCAGCAGAAGGGAAUCGUCGGCAAUGGGCGAAAGCCUUGCGGAGCAAGGCGGCGUGAGUGGUGAAGGUCUUCGGAUCGUAAAAAUCUGUUAUGAGUGAAGAACAGAUGUGGAAGGAACUGUGGACAUCUUGACGGUAACUAAUAAGAAAGCAACGGCUAACUACGUG
Molecule: ribosomal RNA, 497 nt
Filed under: uncultured bacterium
Lineage: Bacteria
Description: partial 16S ribosomal RNA
Rfam family: Bacterial small subunit ribosomal RNA
Source: RNAcentral